AGAGAGGUGGCCGAGUGGUCGAAGGCGCACGACUGGAACUCGUGUAUGGGGCAACCCAUCGAGGGUUCGAAUCCCUUCCUCUCUGCCA
RNAcentral lists this transfer RNA (88 nucleotides) under Sulfurovum riftiae. RNAcentral describes it as "tRNA-Ser". It matches the Rfam family "tRNA". From Rfam's summary of the family: Transfer RNA (tRNA) molecules are approximately 80 nucleotides in length. Their secondary structure includes four short double-helical elements and three loops (D, anti-codon, and T loops). Further hydrogen bonds mediate the characteristic L-shaped molecular structure. tRNAs have two regions of fundamental functional importance: the anti-codon, which is responsible for specific mRNA codon recognition, and the 3' end, to which the tRNAs corresponding amino acid is attached (by aminoacyl-tRNA synthetases). tRNAs cope with the degeneracy of the genetic code in two manners: having more than one tRNA (with a specific anti-codon) for a particular amino acid; and 'wobble' base-pairing, i.e. permitting non-standard base-pairing at the 3rd anti-codon position. Lineage: Bacteria; Pseudomonadati; Campylobacterota; Epsilonproteobacteria; Campylobacterales; Sulfurovaceae. The record is from RNAcentral.